UCUUCUGCAUCAGUUUCUAUGACGACAUAGGCAGCCGAGUAGUCAGGGUCCGUGUGCUGCAGGAGAAGAGUUCCCCGCCGAAACAAUGCCAGUGUGAGAAACCCGAAAAGAACCAUGAGAAUGAUGUCACAUGAGGACAGACAAUGCCACAGGGGCCGUGCCACAAGAGCUCCCAUAGAAGGAACUGUUGCUAUACCCCAAAGAAAACAAAGGGCUCUGAAUGGAGAAAAGGAAUGUCCUCCUGAAAGAUCCAAAAUGUUUCAACAAGAGCAAUACUCCAAAAAGCCAGGCAGAAGAUGUGAAUGCAUUCAUAAAGAAGAAUUGUG
Homo sapiens (human) is the source of this 326-nucleotide long non-coding RNA. The record is from Ensembl. Lineage: Eukaryota; Metazoa; Chordata; Mammalia; Primates; Hominidae.